UCUUCCUCUUCCUCUUCCUCUUCCUCUUCCUCUUCCUCUUCAUUAUCUGGAUAAUCCACUAGGCCACCCAAACUUCCCUUGGUGGCUGUUACUGAUGUAGCCAAGUUUGUAGUUUUGGAAGGAGACCCAUUAGAACUUGCUG
RNAcentral lists this microRNA precursor (142 nucleotides) under Dasypus novemcinctus (nine-banded armadillo). Its description in RNAcentral is "miRNA (ENSDNOG00000038443.1)". Lineage: Eukaryota; Metazoa; Chordata; Mammalia; Cingulata; Dasypodidae. The record is from RNAcentral.